CCCUUAGAUGCUCUGGGCCGCACGCGCGCAACACUGGUCGAUGCAACGAGUUUCUUUCCUUGGCCGACAGGCCUGGGCAAUCUUUGAACAUCGAUCGUGAUCGGGAUAGAUUCUUGUAAUUUUUGAUCUUAAACGAGGAAUUCCUAGUAAACGCAAGUCAUCAGCUUGCAUUGAUUACGUCCCUGCCCUUUGUACACACCGCCCGUCGCACCUACCGAUUGAAUGGUCCGGUGAAGCCUCGGGAUUGUGACAGGUGCCUUUAUUGGUGUCAGUUGCAAGAACUUGUCUGAACCUUAUCAUUUAGAGGAAGGUGAAGUCGUAACA
Molecule: ribosomal RNA, 324 nt
Filed under: uncultured eukaryote
Lineage: Eukaryota
Description: partial 18S ribosomal RNA
Rfam family: Eukaryotic small subunit ribosomal RNA
Source: RNAcentral